GCCGCGUGAGCGAUGAAGGUUUUCGGAUCGUAAAGCUCUGUCCUAAGGGAAGAUAAUGACGGUACCUUAUGAGGAAGCCCCGGCUAACUACGUGCCAGCAGCCGCGGUAAUACAGCAGCCGCGGUAAU
RNAcentral lists this ribosomal RNA (128 nucleotides) under uncultured Sporanaerobacter sp. Its description in RNAcentral is "partial 16S ribosomal RNA". It matches the Rfam family "Bacterial small subunit ribosomal RNA", at positions 396 to 537 of the family's 1533-position model. The record is from RNAcentral. Lineage: Bacteria; Bacillati; Bacillota; Tissierellia; Tissierellales; Sporanaerobacteraceae.